UACGGAGGAUGCAAGCGUUAUCCGGAAUGAUUGGGCGUAAAGCGUCCGCAGGCGGCUAUGUAAGUCUGCUGUUAAAGAGUGAGGCUCAACCUCAUAAGAGCAGUGGAAACUACAUGGCUAGAGUGCGUUCGGGGCAAAGGGAAUUCCUGGUGUAGCGGUGAAAUGCGUAGAGAUCAGGAAGAACACCGGUGGCGAAAGCGCUCUGCUAGGCCGCAACUGACACUCAUGGACGAAAGCUAGGGGAGCGAAUGGG
RNAcentral lists this ribosomal RNA (253 nucleotides) under uncultured bacterium. RNAcentral's name for it is "partial 16S ribosomal RNA". It matches the Rfam family "Bacterial small subunit ribosomal RNA", at positions 524 to 776 of the family's 1533-position model. The record is from RNAcentral.